Long non-coding RNA from Folsomia candida, 529 nucleotides. RefSeq lists it as uncharacterized. NCBI's taxonomy places the organism in Eukaryota, Metazoa, Arthropoda, Collembola, Entomobryomorpha, Isotomidae. The transcript has 4 exons. The record is from RefSeq and is a predicted model, not a curated record.
ACCGUUCUUCCAAAGCAAAUAAACACAUUUUGUCCCAUUUUCCGUCUCACUCGAGUAUUCAUUUAUAUUCCUACCGACCACCAAGCUAAAAAUCUGUUCGGUAAAAUUGCUACUUUUUGAAAUUGCAAAAUUACAAAAACAGGGAUAUAUUUAUAAGUUUAUUUUCACCCUGAAUAAAUAAUUCGCAAUGUGUGGUGACACGAGGCAAAAGCAAACCAAAUGUAUCGCACUGUUUCAAUCGAUUUGUGGAACAGCACUGAUUUUCUUCUUACUCGUAAUACCUUCAGCAAGUGAUGAGUGGAACCAAUACGACCGAGGAAAUAUCCUCUAUUACGUGUUGAUCGGGGCCAUUCUGAUUUCUAUUUCGUCAGCAAUUUCAUUAUACCGUGGAGCAAAAAAUGUAGGUAUACACAUUUCUUGUAUUUGGAUAAUUCACUUGUACAUAUUGCACAGUGCUUCUAACCACUUUACCCGUUUUCACCUGCAAGAAAUGCAAAGGUGCAAGAAAAUCUUCCCUCCAAUAAGGUGC